GCCCAGGUGGUGAAAUUGGUAUACACGCAUCCUUGAGGUGGAUGUGGCUUCGGCUGUGGAGGUUCAAGUCCUCUCCUGGGCA
Molecule: transfer RNA, 82 nt
Filed under: Minisyncoccota bacterium
Lineage: Bacteria; Bacillati; Minisyncoccota
Description: tRNA-Leu
Rfam family: tRNA
About the family: Transfer RNA (tRNA) molecules are approximately 80 nucleotides in length. Their secondary structure includes four short double-helical elements and three loops (D, anti-codon, and T loops). Further hydrogen bonds mediate the characteristic L-shaped molecular structure. tRNAs have two regions of fundamental functional importance: the anti-codon, which is responsible for specific mRNA codon recognition, and the 3' end, to which the tRNAs corresponding amino acid is attached (by aminoacyl-tRNA synthetases). tRNAs cope with the degeneracy of the genetic code in two manners: having more than one tRNA (with a specific anti-codon) for a particular amino acid; and 'wobble' base-pairing, i.e. permitting non-standard base-pairing at the 3rd anti-codon position.
Source: RNAcentral